RNAcentral lists this ribosomal RNA (253 nucleotides) under uncultured bacterium. RNAcentral describes it as "partial 16S ribosomal RNA". It matches the Rfam family "Bacterial small subunit ribosomal RNA", at positions 524 to 776 of the family's 1533-position model. The record is from RNAcentral.
AACGUAGGUACCGAGCGUUAUCCGGAUUUACUGGGCGUAAAGAGCGCGCAGGCGGUCGUGCAAGUCGCGUGUGAAAGCCCCCGGCUCAACUGGGGAGGGUCACGCGAUACUGCUCGACUCGAAGGCAGGAGAGGGAAGUGGAAUUCCCGGUGUAGUGGUGAAAUGCGUAGAUAUCGGGAGGAACACCAGUGGCGAAGGCGACUUCCUGGCCUGUUCUUGACGCUGAGGCGCGAAAGCUAGGGUAGCAAACGGG